Molecule: ribosomal RNA, 323 nt
Filed under: uncultured bacterium
Lineage: Bacteria
Description: bacterial SSU rRNA
Rfam family: Bacterial small subunit ribosomal RNA
Source: RNAcentral
GAUGAACGCUAGCGGCAGGCUUAACACAUGCAAGUCGAGGGCAGCAUGAGACGGAGAUUCGUCAAAGUCUUGAUGGCGACCGGCGCAAGGGUGCGUAACGCGUGAGCAACUUGCCCGUUUCUGGGGAAUAACCGGUGGAAACGCCGACUAAUACCCCAUAGCAUCAACUUUAGGCAUCUUAGUUGAUUAAAGAAUUUCGGAAACGGAUAGGCUCGCGUGACAUUAGCUAGAUGGCGGGUAACGGCCCACCAUGGCGACGAUGUCUAGGGGUUCUGAGAGGAAGGUCCCCCACACUGGAACUGAGACACGGUCCAGACUCCUAC